This 75-nucleotide transfer RNA is filed under the name Anaxandra taurina. RNAcentral's name for it is "tRNA-Lys". The record is from RNAcentral. Lineage: Eukaryota; Metazoa; Arthropoda; Insecta; Hemiptera; Acanthosomatidae.
CAUUAAGUGGCUGAAACAAUUAAUAAGCAUUGGUCUCUUAAACCAAAUUAUGGUAAAGAAUAUUACCCUUAAUGA